GCACCGUAGGUGAGAGGAAGUGGGAUGACGUCAAGUCCUCAUGGCCUUUAUGUCUAGGGCUACACACGUACUACAAUGGCCGGUACAAAGGGCAGCCACUCAGCGAUGAGGCGCUAAUCCCAUAAAGCCGGUCUCAGUUCGGAUUGGAGUCUGCAACUCGACUCCAUGAAGUUGGAAUCGCUAGUAAUCGCGGAUCAGCAUGCCGCGGUGAAUACGUUCCCGGGCCUU
RNAcentral lists this ribosomal RNA (228 nucleotides) under uncultured Desulfovibrio sp. Its description in RNAcentral is "partial 16S ribosomal RNA". It matches the Rfam family "Bacterial small subunit ribosomal RNA", at positions 1153 to 1382 of the family's 1533-position model. The record is from RNAcentral. Lineage: Bacteria; Pseudomonadati; Thermodesulfobacteriota; Desulfovibrionia; Desulfovibrionales; Desulfovibrionaceae.